UACGGGGGGGGCAAGCGUUGUUCGGAAUUACUGGGCGUAAAGAGCUCGUAGGCGGUUUGUCGCGUCUGCCGUGAAAGUCCGGGGCUCAACCUCGGGACGUCGGCGGAAACCAUCUGGCUAGAGUCCGGAAGAGGAGAGUGGAAUUCCCGGUGUAGCGGUGAAAUGCGCAGAUAUCGGGAAGAACACCCGUGGCGAAGGCGGCUCUCUGGGACGGUACUGACGCUGAGACGCGAAAGCGUGGGGAGCGAACAGG
Molecule: ribosomal RNA, 253 nt
Filed under: uncultured bacterium
Lineage: Bacteria
Description: partial 16S ribosomal RNA
Rfam family: Bacterial small subunit ribosomal RNA
Source: RNAcentral